ACUCCUACGGGAGGCAGCAGUGGGGAAUAUUGCACAAUGGGGGAAACCCUGAUGCAGCCAUGCCGCGUGUGUGAAGAAGGCCUUCGGGUUGUAAAGCACUUUCAGUAGGGAGGAAGGUAGUGUAGUUAACACCUGCACUAUUUGACGUUACCUACAGAAGAAGCACCGGCUAACUCCGUGCCAGCAGCCGCGGUAAUACGGGAGGGUGCGAGCGUUAAUCGGAAUUACUGGGCGUAAAGCGCAUGCAGGCGGCCUGUUAAGUCAGAUGUGAAAGCCCGGGGCUUAACCUCGGAAUUGCAUUUGAAACUGGCAGGCUAGAGUCUUGUAGAGGGGGGUAGAAUUUCAGGUGUAGCGGUGAAAUGCGUAGAGAUCUGAAGGAAUACCAGUGGCGAAGGCGGCCCCCUGGACAAAGACUGACGCUCAGAUGCGAAAGCGUGGGGAGCAAACAGGAUUAGAUACCCUGGUAGGAUAGCG
RNAcentral lists this ribosomal RNA (474 nucleotides) under uncultured bacterium. RNAcentral's name for it is "bacterial SSU rRNA". It matches the Rfam family "Bacterial small subunit ribosomal RNA", at positions 335 to 799 of the family's 1533-position model. The record is from RNAcentral.